GAAAUGCGAUAAAUAAUGUGAAUUGCAGAAUUCAGUGAAUCAUCGAAUCUUUGAACGCACAUUGCGCUCGCCAGUAUUCUGGCGAGCAUGCCUGUUCGAGCGUCAUUUCAACCAUCAAGCUCUGCUUGCGUUGGGGAUCCGCGGCUGCCCGCGGUCCCUCAAAAACAGUGGCGGGCUCGCUAGUCACACCGAGCGUAGUAACUCUACAUCGCUAUGGUCGUGCGGCGGGUUCUUGCCGUAAAACCCCCAAUUUCUAAGGUUGACCUCGGAUCAGGUAGGAAUACCCGCUGAACUUAAGC
RNAcentral lists this unclassified non-coding RNA (299 nucleotides) under plant metagenome. RNAcentral describes it as "partial contains 5.8S ribosomal RNA, internal transcribed spacer 2, and large subunit ribosomal RNA". The stretch from base 1 to 105 matches the Rfam family "5.8S ribosomal RNA", at positions 50 to 154 of the family's 154-position model. The record is from RNAcentral.